UCCAGCAUUAUACACAUCGGCAGUGAAUUGGCAGAGUAAAUGCAAAAUCCACUUUAUUUUAUACUUUUUAAUUGCAUAUUUUACUAAAAUAUUAAUAAGAGUUACAAACUAAUGGACGAGUGCAUGUGUAGGAUGUAGGAUUAAAUUGGUAAAAAUAUGUAUUUAUUUCUGAUUUCUGUAUCAUUCACACGGCCAUCUUUACAUCAAAACCUUGAAGUCAAAUCAACGUCAGUCACGAUGUCAACUGCGAUACGGUGUUGAUGUGAAAAGAAGGGCGAUUUUCGGCUGUCGACAGGAGAGCAGAACUCAACACUAACACUAACACCACUCAACAUGGGAAGGUAUAAAUAUCCAUUUUUAUUACACCAGCCCCUGUUUCGAUGCUUUCAGAUGAGGGUUCUUCAAUCGAGCAAACUGAGUGUGCUCCGCGUCACCGCUGAAUAUCCUUUUAAAAAUAUCAUGGCGUUUGCGCACAACGUGUCUCGUACCACAGGUAUUUGUAUUGGUGGCACAUUUUCCUAUAUCCUGUUGAAAAUGCUUGUUUUGAGCAAGGGGGAUGUCCUAACUGCAACACAAAUACAAACAAACCGUGCUUUUUCCUGGUUAUGUCAAUCUUGUGCACGCUUCUUUUAGCGGCAAAUUUAGCAUCAGGUAUAUUUUCUUACUUUUCACUAGAAACGCUCUGUGAAGUUUGUUUUUAGUUAAAUUGUUAAUUGUUUCACGAUUAUAUUAAACAUGUGAAUAGCUAGCUAAAUUACAUGCAGAAUCAUGGACUUUCAGGAAAAAUAAUCGUUAGGCUGCAUUUUUCUGUGCAAAAGUAAUUUAAUUUCAGCAGUCUUUAUGGUAGUUUUACUGUUUUAUAAAUGUUUAUUUCUCUCAUUUUAGCUGUGUCAGCUAAAAUUGGUGAAUCUGUAAUUCUAUGAAUACUAAUUAAACCAACAAAAAAAUACACCUUCCAACAUUGUUCUAAACAUUCUCAAUUUAUUAUGAUGCAAACACAGCCUCAAAGACAGCUCAGUUUUUUUUUUCGUUUUUAUACUUUUAAGUUUCAAAUGUUCUUUUCCAAAGUUUUUAUGGAGAAUAAAAGCGGCACUUUUAUUUUUCAAACAAUCUUUGAAGAAACUCAUCCCUCUUUUUUUAAAAAAAGGAAAGGAAAAAAAUACACGUGAUUUUUUAGUUUUCUAGUACAACUUUUGCUAGAGUUUAUAUGUUUUAUUGCUGUUGUGUUACACGUAAAUGGCUUACGGCUACAGAUUAUUAAAAUACAGCAAUGAUAAUCGUAGUUGUAAUUGAUGCAAAUAAUGUCUGUUAGUUUUUUCCACAGGUUUAAUCUGUAUUUAAAUUAAUCAUUUAGUGCCAUUAACUCUUAUUUAAACAGGAUCAUCUUUUCGUCGAUUUAUGUUCUACAUCUACCCUGUAGAUCCGAAUUUGUUUGAAUAUAAACAAGCGACAAAUUCGGUUCUAGAGAGGUUUGUGUGGGGCAUUUGAAAACAGCAUCAAAAUAACCACAAGUGAGUAGAAUCGACGAAAGGAACACUUUUCUUCGAAAAUUACAGGAUGUUUGUUACCUCUUCCGGGCCGAAUAUGCAGAUGCUUUAGUUUUGUACAAUGUUGGAAUUGGAAACAGUAAGAAUCAUUUUUAAAAUGCUUUGGUAGUUAUAAAAAAGUGCGGUAUGUUGCAUGUUGUAAAAUAAAUAAAUAAAUAAA
Culex pipiens pallens (northern house mosquito) is the source of this 1707-nucleotide long non-coding RNA. RefSeq lists it as uncharacterized. Lineage: Eukaryota; Metazoa; Arthropoda; Insecta; Diptera; Culicidae. The transcript is spliced from 2 exons. The record is from RefSeq and is a predicted model, not a curated record.